This 269-nucleotide long non-coding RNA is filed under the name Arachis ipaensis. Its description in RNAcentral is "long non-coding RNA (AIPA_LNC000132)". Lineage: Eukaryota; Viridiplantae; Streptophyta; Magnoliopsida; Fabales; Fabaceae. The record is from RNAcentral.
AGGAUUGCUUUCUAUACAAUCAAUUCUAUUUUUUACCUUUUCCCUCAUUCUUUCCCGCCACAACCACCAACGGCAAUCAAGCCAGCCAAGCCCAGGUAGCACUUCACCUUCUCUCCCCCCUCCAUGCCCACACUAUCUCCAUCGAUUUAACUGCCAUCUUUUGAGGGGUCUCAUGUUUGUUAACUCCAGCUCCGAGUUAGAGAGGGCAUCCAUAAUGCGCUUGUAGGGUUCGCUAAAGAGCGUAGCACAUUCAACUUCUCUUACAUAGU